RNAcentral lists this ribosomal RNA (460 nucleotides) under uncultured bacterium. Its description in RNAcentral is "partial 16S ribosomal RNA". It matches the Rfam family "Bacterial small subunit ribosomal RNA", at positions 338 to 795 of the family's 1533-position model. The record is from RNAcentral.
CCUACGGGAGGCAGCAGUGAGGAAUAUUGGUCAAUGGACGAGAGUCUGAACCAGCCAAGUAGCGUGAAGGAUGACUGCCCUAUGGGUUGUAAACUUCUUUUAUAAAGGAAUAAAACGAGGCACGUGUGCCUUUUUGAAUGUACUUUAUGAAUAAGGAUCGGCUAACUCCGUGCCAGCAGCCGCGGUAAUACGGAGGAUCCGAGCGUUAUCCGGAGUUAUUGGGUUUAAAGGGAGCGUAGAUGGGUUGUUAAGUCAGUUGUGAAAGUUUGCGGCUCAACCGUAAAAUUGCAAUUGAUACUGGCAGUCUUGAGUACAGUUGAGGUAGGCGGAAUUCGUGGUGUAGCGGUGAAAUGCUUAGAUAUCACGAAGAACCCCGAUUGCGAAGGCAGCUUACUAAACUGUGACUGACAUUGAUGCUCGAAAGUGUGGGUAUCAAACAGGAUUAGAUACCCUUGUAGUC